This 732-nucleotide ribosomal RNA is filed under the name uncultured Bacteroidota bacterium. RNAcentral describes it as "bacterial SSU rRNA". It matches the Rfam family "Bacterial small subunit ribosomal RNA", at positions 133 to 868 of the family's 1533-position model. The record is from RNAcentral. Lineage: Bacteria; Pseudomonadati; Bacteroidota.
UUACAGGGGAAUAGCCCAGAGAAAUUUGGAUUAAUGCCCCAUAGUAUAAUUGAAUGGCAUCAUUUAAUUAUUAAAGUCACAACGGUAAAAGAUGAGCAUGCGUCCCAUUAGUUAGUUGGUAAGGUAACGGCUUACCAAGACUAUGAUGGGUAGGGGUCCUGAGAGGGAGAUCCCCCACACUGGUACUGAGACACGGACCAGACUCCUACGGGAGGCAGCAGUGAGGAAUAUUGGACAAUGGGCGCAAGCCUGAUCCAGCCAUGCCGCGUGCAGGAAGAAGCAUCUAUGGUGUGUAAACUGCUUUUGUACAGGAAGAAACACUCCCUCGUGAGGGAGCUUGACGGUACUGUAAGAAUAAGGAUCGGCUAACUCCGUGCCAGCAGCCGCGGUAAUACGGAGGAUCCAAGCGUUAUCCGGAAUCAUUGGGUUUAAAGGGUCCGUAGGCGGUUUAAUAAGUCAGUGGUGAAAUCUGGUCGCUCAACGAUCAAACGGCCAUUGAUACUGUUAGACUUGAAUUAUAAGGAAGUAACUAGAAUAUGUAGUGUAGCGGUGAAAUGCUUAGAUAUUACAUGGAAUACCAAUUGCGAAGGCAGGUUACUACUUAUGGAUUGACGCUGAUGGACGAAAGCGUGGGGAGCGAACAGGAUUAGAUACCCUGGUAGUCCACGCCGUAAACGAUGGAUACUAGCUGUUGGAAGCAAUUUCAGUGGCUAAGCGAAAGUGAUAAGUAUC